This 73-nucleotide transfer RNA is filed under the name Ailuropoda melanoleuca (giant panda). It matches the Rfam family "tRNA". Rfam says of the family: Transfer RNA (tRNA) molecules are approximately 80 nucleotides in length. Lineage: Eukaryota; Metazoa; Chordata; Mammalia; Carnivora; Ursidae. The record is from Rfam by way of RNAcentral.
GCCUAGCUGGCUCAGUCGGUAGAGGAUGUGACUUUUGAUCUCAGGGUGGUGAGUUCAAGCCCCACAUUUGGCA